CUUGCUGGAUGAUGAUGACCAAGUGGCGUUUUCUUUCAUUCUGGACAACAUUGUCACCCAGAAAAUGAUGGCAGUUCCAGAUUCUUGGCCAUUUCAUCACCCAGUUAAUAAGAAAUUUGUUCCAGAUUAUUACAAAGUGAUUGUCAAUCCAAUGGAUUUAGAGAGCAUACGUAAGAACAUCUCCAAGCACAAGUAUCAGAGUCGGGAGAGCUUUCUAGAUGAUGUAAACCUUAUUCUGGCCAACAGUGUUAAGUAUAAUGGACCUGAGAGUCAGUAUACUAAGACUGCCCAGGAGAUUGUGAACGUCUGUUACCAGACAUUGACUGAGUAUGAUGAACAUUUGACUCAACUUGAGAAGGAUAUUUGUACUGCUAAAGAAGCAGCUUUGGAGGAAGCAGAAUUAGAAAGCCUGGACCCAAUGACCCCAGGGCCCUACACGCCUCAGCCUCCUGAUUUGUAUGAUACCAACACAUCCCUCAGUAUGUCUCGAGAUGCCUCUGUAUUUCAAGAUGAGAGCAAUAUGUCUGUCUUGGAUAUUCCCACUGCCACUCCAGAAAAGCAGGUAACACAGAUGCGCCAGGGCCGAGGUAGGCUGGGCGAGGAAGACUCUGAUGUAGAUAUUGAAGGGUAUGAUGAUGAGGAGGAGGAUGGGAAACCUAAGACUCCAGCCCCAGAAGGUGAAGAUGGAGAUGGUGAUCUUGCAGAUGAAGAGGAAGGAACUGUACAACAGCCUCAAGCCAGUGUCCUGUAUGAGGAUUUGCUUAUGUCUGAAGGAGAAGAUGAUGAGGAAGAUGCUGGGAGUGAUGAAGAAGGAGACAAUCCUUUCUCUGCUAUCCAGCUGAGUGAAAGUGGAAGUGACUCUGAUGUGGGAUCUGGUGGAAUAAGACCCAAACAACCCCGCAUGCUUCAGGAGAACACAAGGAUGGACAUGGAAAAUGAAGAAAGCAUGAUGUCCUAUGAGGGAGACGGUGGGGAGGCUUCCCAUGGUUUGGAGGAUAGCAACAUCAGGUACCAAUGAACAAGCCAUUCAGAGAUGGAUCCACAAAGAUCUCUGGAGCAAUGACCAGGUCCUGCUCUACCCGAUUCUCAGCUUUGGGGAUAGAAUUCCCAGAAACAUCUGUGUCCGGAGUUGGUUCCUUCCAGUGGGUUCUUGGUCUUGCUGACUUCAAGAAUGAAGCCGUGGACCUUCGCGCUUCAGGCUGAAGAUAGUGAAAAUCCGUGCCAGACUUGGAUUGGAAGAAUGAACCAAGGCUUUGAGUCUCUUCGUCUCAUCUCCGUUUUGAUACGUGUCUCCUUAGUUUGUAAGCCAAGGAGAGGACUACAGUGAGGAUUGCGGAGGGAAGUGGACCUUAUUGGUCUUUGAGCUCUCACAUCUUUAAAGACUGUUGGUGCUGAGAGAAAAAGUAUCCUCAUCUGGCAGAACUCCCAUAGGGUGUGCUCCCCUUGCUGUUCUGCUUUUGUUUUGCAGAAAGCUGCCUUUUUCAAUGUACUCAUUAGGCUUUCAUUGUUUUUUCCUUUUUUACCUUUUUCAUCUUUCACUGUUGAUAUCACAGGUGGCCAUAUCUUUACCAGUGCAGCUACCAAAUAAGAAAUCAUCUUUUCCACAUUCACUAGUUAGUGAUGGUUGUUGUACUACCAUGAAAUCAGUUUCUUCUUUACUUUUAUUCAGGUUACAAGAUUUCUGGAAGGUUUUAAGAUCAAUUUUAAUUAGUCUUUGUGACUGGUUACUUCAUCCAGGGGACCAAUUUCUCUCUGGAAUAUUAGUCCCGCACCCCUGGAGAGCCUGUGCGGCUGCAUCUCCCUCCGGAGGUGGUUCUGGAGUUGGUUCCUUUUGGUGGGUU
RNAcentral lists this small RNA (1841 nucleotides) under Pan troglodytes (chimpanzee). Its description in RNAcentral is "processed transcript". The record is from RNAcentral. Lineage: Eukaryota; Metazoa; Chordata; Mammalia; Primates; Hominidae.